UCUUCGUUUGUGAUAAGCCAGAGGCUUAAUCCAAGCCCCACACAAAGAGCUCUCCAGCAAUGGCCAUUCUCGCUUUUCCCUUAGUCAUUUCCUUUCUCAGGCCCAACGCUCCUCACUUCGCUCUCCUCCGUCUCGCUAAGCCCAAUGUUACCUCCACGCGCCGCUGCCGCCUUUGAACCGCCGCCACUUCCGUCAAACAACCACCGCCGCUGCUCUUCACACUUCUUCAAUUCAAAAAAAUUCCUCAACAGACUCCGGUGAUGGAGAGCGGAAGAAAGCUCUUGUUCUCACUUUUCAACAAGCUAUUCAAAGACUCCAGGAAUAUUGGGCGUCGGUUGGAUGUGCUAUAAUGCAAUGCAGCAACACUGAGGUUGGAGCCGGAACAAUGAAUCCAUUAACAUACUUAAGAGUUCUUGGUCCAGAACCAUGGAAUGUUGCGUAUGUGGAACCUAGCAUCCGGCCAGAUGAUAGUCGUUAUGGAGAAAACCAUAACAGGCUCCAACGCCACACUCAGUUUCAGGUUUGUGUGGUUUAUUGAGUAGAUCGUUUUAUGGUAUUUUAUUGACUUA
This is a long non-coding RNA of Hibiscus syriacus, 569 nucleotides long. RefSeq lists it as uncharacterized. NCBI's taxonomy places the organism in Eukaryota, Viridiplantae, Streptophyta, Magnoliopsida, Malvales, Malvaceae. The record is from RefSeq and is a predicted model, not a curated record. The transcript is spliced from 4 exons.